AUUGAACGCUGGCGGCAUGCUUUACACAUGCAAGUCGAACGGUAACAGGUUAAGCUGACGAGUGGCGAACGGGUGAGUAAUGCAUCGGAACGUGCCCGGUCGUGGGGGAUAACGCAGCGAAAGCUGCGCUAAUACCGCAUACGAUCUGAGGAUGAAAGCGGGGGACCGUAAGGCCUCGCGCGAUCGGAGCGGCCGAUGUCAGAUUAGGUAGUUGGUGGGGUAAAGGCUCACCAAGCCAACGAUCUGUAGCUGGUCUGAGAGGACGACCAGCCACACUGGGACUGAGACACGGCCCAGACUCCGACGGGAGGCAGCAGUGGGGAAUUUUGGACAAUGGGCGAAAGCCUGAUCCAGCAAUGCCGCGUGCAGGAAGAAGGCCUUCGGGUUGUAAACUGCUUUUGUACGGAGCGAAAAGGUCUCCUCUAAUACAGGGGGCUCAUGACGGUACCGUAAGAAUAAGCACCGACUAACUACGUGCCAGCCGCCGCAGUAA
RNAcentral lists this ribosomal RNA (493 nucleotides) under uncultured bacterium. RNAcentral describes it as "partial 16S ribosomal RNA". It matches the Rfam family "Bacterial small subunit ribosomal RNA", at positions 29 to 523 of the family's 1533-position model. The record is from RNAcentral.